RNAcentral lists this ribosomal RNA (465 nucleotides) under uncultured bacterium. RNAcentral describes it as "partial 16S ribosomal RNA". It matches the Rfam family "Bacterial small subunit ribosomal RNA", at positions 28 to 507 of the family's 1533-position model. The record is from RNAcentral.
GACGAACGCUGGCGGCGUGCUUAACACAUGCAAGUCGUACGGUAAGGCCCUUUCGGGGGUCCCCGAGUGGCGAACGGGUGAGUAACACGUGAGUAACCUGCCCACAACUUUGGGAUAACGCUAGGAAACUGGUGCUAAUACUGGAUAUGUGCUCCUGCUGCAUGGUGGGGGUUGGAAAGCUCCGGCGGUUGUGGAUGGACUCGCGGCCUAUCAGCUUGUUGGUGGGGUAGUGGCCUACCAAGGCGGCGACGGGUAGCCGGCCUGAGAGGGUGACCGGCCACAUUGGGACGGAGAUACGGCCCAGACUCCUACGGGAGGCAGCAGUGGGGAAGAUUGAACAAUGGGCGCAAGCCUGAUGCAGCAACGCCGCGUGCGGGAUGACGGCCUUCGGGUUGUAAACCGCUUUCAGCAGGGACGAAGCUUUUUGUGACGGUACCUGCAGAAGAAGCACCGGCUAACUACGUG